UCCCUAAAACAGUUAUGAUUCCAACCUUCUCUUCUUUUCCAUUUAGAUGACAUAAUCCUUGAAGACCUGGAGGCAGAGCAGGGGCAGGACAGCUUUGAUACUGACUCCAUGAGCCACAGAACCUGAACACGGAGUUUGCCAUCGCUCUUUACCAACGCUGGGCAGAGCUCCACCACGGAACGACCCUCGCCAUUUCCCCAGUGAGCGUGGCUCUUUCUCUGGGUGCAAGGGAGCACAUUGGCCCAACUGCAGCCUGCUCUGGGACACAGCACUCAUGGUAAGGCAACCUUCUGAGAAACAGCUUUUCAGUGAGCAGCGCAGGCUGUCGUCGGCUUCGCCUGACAGCUUGGACUGUCCUGGUAGGCAGAGCAUAUAAAAACAAAAGCAUGUCAUCCAAGGGGACUUACUUCUGAGUUAACCCCCUUUCAUGCCAUGCUCUUCACUUCAAUGGGCUUUACAUGCGCAUCCUACAGCUUUCAAGUACAUUCUUUCCCCCAAAGAGUUCUGGGCACGGUAGUUCACUCCUCACAGAGUUGCCAGUCCCAGCAACACUCCAGGAACUGCAGUGUCCAGAAUUCUUUAAGGAAAGAAUGUGCCUCAGGGGUUGGACUAGAUGGCCCUUAGGUCCCUUCUAACUCUACAAUUCUAUGAUUCUGUGAAUGCACAUGGAACCAUGUAUUGGUGUGUGCUGAAAGCUAUCCACACCUUGGUUCUGUUGAAAUCAGUUAGUCACAGCUAGCUAAGUCCCAUUGAUUUAUGAAAGUGUGGCUGAUUUACAGCACAAUCCUAUGCAUGUCUACUCAGAAGUAAGCCCUGUUGACUUCAAUGAGGGUUACUCCCAAAUAAGUGGGUACAGGAUUGUGGAUUCAUAUCAACAGAGGAGCAGCUUUUGAUUUAACUGUCUCACCUGCUAUGGACUAUUUAAUGCAAAAAAGUGACAUGUCUACUCAGAACUAUGUCCUUGUGAAUUCCAUGGGGCUUACUCCCAAGUAAAUGGACAGAGAAGUAAUUAAGACCCUUCAGCAUAUAUGUUGAUUUCAGAAUAACAUUAGUCCCUAAGGUCUCUCUGUAACUGUCUGAGGCCUAUUUUGAGGUUUAGAUACAUAAACAUAUCCCGUGUGGCUCUUUGUUUCCCUGUGGGCUAUGCAGACCUCCUCCCUUCCUCACAUGGAGGAAGAUGACCCAGGGCAACAUGAAGGUAAUGUCUUUUUCCAUGUAUAUGUUGUUGUUGUUUAGUUGUUUAGUCGUGUCCGACUCUUCGUGACCCCAUGGACCAGAGCACGCCAGGCACUCCUGUCUUACACUGCCUCCCGCAGUUUGGUCAGACUCAUGUUUGUAGCUUCGAGAACACUGUCCAACUAUCUCGUCCUCUGUCGUCCCCUUCUCCUUGUGCCCUCCAUCUUUCCCAACAUCAGGGUCUUUUCCAGGGAGUCUUCUCUUCUCAGGAGGUGGCCAAAGUAUUGGAGCCUCAGCUUCAGGAUCUGUCCUUCCAGUGAGCACUCAGGGCUGAUUUCCUUCAGAAUGGAGAGGUUUGAUCUUCUUGCAGUCCAUUGGACUCUCAAGAGUCUCCUCCAGCACCAUAAUUCAAAAGCAUCAAUUCUUCAGUGAUCAGCCUUCUUUAUGGUCCAGCUCUCACUUCCAUAUAUCACUACUGGGGAAACCAUAGCUUUAACUAUACGGACCUUUGUCAGCAAGGUGAUGUCUCUGCUUUUUAAGAUGCUGUCUAGGUUUGUGCUUGCUUUUCUCCCAAGAAACAGAUGUCUUUUAAUUUCGUGGCUGCUGCCACCAUCUGCAGUGAUCAUGGAGCCCAAGAAAGUAAAAUCUCUCACUGCCUCCAUUUCUUCCCCUUCUAUUUGCCAGGAGGUGAUGGGCCCAGUGGCCAUGAUCUUCGUUUUUUUGAUGUUGAGCUUCAGACCAUAUUUUGCGCUCUCCUCUUUCACCCUCAAUAAAAGGUUCUUUAAUUCCUCCUCACUUUCUGCCAUCAAGGCUCCAUGUAUAUAUUCAGUGUAUAUAAGAAAGUCUCUCCAAGUGCCAGCCUUUUCCUUUCAGAAGAUCUAAUUAUAGAAGACAUUGAGGAAGAGCAAGAAGAGACUGUGCGGCACUGAAGCAGCUCCUAGAGGGGAUGAUCAGCAAGACCAGGACCAAGUCUCAGAUGUGUGCAAUUCACCACUCUUUAAAUACAUGGACAAGGGUUAUGCAAACUUGGCCACUCAUUGGCUGUCCCAGGAGAAGGCAUGAAGAAGAAAGGCCCAGUUACUCCACAGGGCGAAGCAGGUGGAGGAGCUUCCUGUGGCAUUGAGGAAGAUGAUGACUAUGCAAGUGGGCUGUUGUAACUCCAGCACAACUCGACUCUUAAAAAGCAACCUAGCUGUUUCUGGCCAAUGAGCAAUUCUGGAAGCUCCCUAAUAAUUGCCACCAGUUCACUGCAAUCAGGAAAUUGGAAACAGAACAAUUUGUCUGCAUCUGGGAAACUUGUAGAGAAAGCAUGGCUGGAAAAAUCUUUUUUAAUAAUUCCAGUGGCACCUUUAAGAUCAACUAAAUAUAAGCUUUCAAGGUAUGAGCUUUCGUGUGUAAUACACACUUCAUCAGAUACUCUGAAGCAGAGGUCGGUUCAACCUUAUAACUGUUGAUGACUGUUAUGGCAGUUGGUUCCACAGGGAAGGGCAAGGGAUUUUUAAAGGGAUAGACGACCAAAAUUAGCUUUAGUAUGUAUAAUGGGACAUGAAUCCAAUAUCUCUAUUCAGACCUGGUCUCUCCAUAGUUUUAGUUUGGUAAUGAGUUGUAAUUCAGCAACUUCUCUUUCAAGUGUAUUUCUAAAAUUCUUUUGCAAUAAGACAGCUACUUUAAGAUCUUGUAUAGAAUGUCCUCGGAGACUGAGGUGUUCUCCUAUUGGUUUCUCUGUUUUAUGAUUCCUGAUGUCAGAUUUAUGCCCAUUUAUCCAAAAGUUUGUCCUGUUUGUCCAAUAUAGAGAGCUGAAGGGCGCUGUUGGCAUUUGAUAACUUAUAUAAUGUUGGAAGAUGAACAAUUAAAUAGGCCUGAGGUGGUAUGUUUGAUGUUAUUGGGGCCAAUAAUGAUGCUGUCCGGGUGUCUGUGGCAGCAAAGUUGUCAUCUAGAUUUAUUGCAGGCUCUUGUGGCAGUGUUCAUGUUCAGUGGCGUAGGAAGAGGGGGCGGGGGGAGCGGAGUGCCCUGGGUGCCAUCUCUGAAGGGGUGACGAGGGCACCCCGUGGGGAUGCCAUUGUGCCCAUGCCCGCAGCCGUGGGCAAAGGAUCCUCCGCACCACAGCGCCUCUUAGUCUCUCUCUCUCUCGUUCUCUUGCGCGCUACAAGUAUAGGGCACAUUUCUCUCCCCCUCCCACCUAUCGGGGAGGAGGUGGGGGUGGCAACAUUGCUGGCUCCCCCGCUCUGAAUACUUGGGAGUCGUGGGGGGGGGGUUGGCAUGCCAUUGCCCCAGCUCCCGAGUCCUGGCUGGAGCCUGGAGGAGCAGGCAGGAGGUGGGGAGAGGACGAGUUGCUCGGCUUUGCCGGCAAAGCCGUGCAGCUCCCUCCCCCCCUUUCUUUUUGCUCGGCAAAACUUUGGAGUUCUCAUUUUUCUUUCAUUUUCUUUUUUGCAAAAGCGUGUGUGGUGUCUGAAGACUGGAAGCACCUGUAAGAGGGUUCAGGCGGGCACAGUUUUUUGCCUGUUGUUUGGAUAGGUCAAGCAUCACCAGUUUUACGUCUGUGAAAUGAGCACUUUGUGGUGCCCAUGACAAUUUCUUAGAUAUAGGUUCCAGAAAGCUGAGGACCAUGGACUAUGGUAACUUAUAGGUUAAAUUACUGCAACUGGACUGCCUCUGAAGACUGGAAACUUCAGCUGGUGCAGAGUUCAGCAGCCAGGUUGCUCACCAGGGCAAGAUGGUUUGAUCAUAUUGUUAAGUUGUGGGUGAACAUAUCAGACGACACAGCAAUUCCUCAAACAGCUCUUGUUUAUUCACAGGCCAGAACAGAACUGAACUGAAGGGUUCAGCCAGCCUGCUUAUAUAGAGCUCCACUACAACGCAACAAUAACCACUUUCUGUAACUAUCCAAUCACUGAACUAUCCAAUCAAUCCCUUAUUUGCAUAUGUGGACCUGAGUGAAAACUAUCUACAGUAUCCCCCUGCUAGACCAGGGUGAGAACUUCAGUACAUAACAUAUAUAAUGCUGACCAUAUUGGCUACUACCAAUUACCUUCCAGACCCAAUUCAAAGUGCUGGUUUUGACCUAUAAAGCCAACAUCAAAGUUAGACUAAGUAUUUAGGCCUCAGGGGGCCUUGUGUGCUGUGAAUAUGUUUUCACAUCCUUUACGUUUGGAACAUGAAUAGCUAAUGGCUGACAACAACAGCAGUGCCUGUAUUUUUGUAAUCUGAGUGAGCAGCUUGACUGCUCAAAUAUCUGGAGAUUCAUUUGUUUUUUAGGUAGCUGUGUUUUCAGAUCAGCUGUGUAUUCCAAAGAAGCUCAACAAUUUUCCUAAAGAAAGCUCAACAACAAAAACUCCACAACUUUUGUCUGCCCCAGGUACUAGCAGGGAUUGCUACACUGCUGGAAAGUGAUCAAUACCCAAAACCUCUUGGAAACACAGGACAUGAAACAAUUAAAAUGACAGGUGUGGAAGAACAUUCAAAAUGUCAUCAAAACAGUCAUUAUAUAAGCGUGUGUGUGUGUGUGUGUGUGUGUGUGUGUGUGUAGAGCUAGGCAGCAAUAAAUCACAAGAAGUAAGUUAACUCUGUAUUAGGAGAAACAAAGUCUGCUCAGAAGUGUCAUUGCAAAGACUUAAAACUGAGAACCAUUUGGCCCACCGAGUGAAUCCUUCAGUUAAUUCGUUCAUAGUCUUACAAUGUAGAUUCUCCAUAUUAUGAGCCUGAAGAAAAAGAAUAAUAAAAGCCACACCCAGAUAUUGUCCCUGGGCUAAUGCAUGAAAAAGCCUUUCUCUCCACCUUCAUUCCCAUAAGCUCUACAUAUCACUUUAAAGCAUAGCUGUUUUUCACCUCUAUCCCACCUGGUCAUCAGAACAACUGAUGUUUAAGAAUUGGUGCCUGAGCUUGCUUUUAAGGCCCUCCUCUUCCCUUCUUCCUUGUGUGUCAUGUCUUUUUAGAGGGACUGUCCUCCUGCUGCUCUUUGUAAGCCAGUACGGGAGCUUUUUCAGCUAAAGAGUGAAGUACCAGUAGAAUACUCUUCUACAAUAUUUGAACUAGAAAGAUGGGUUGGGUGCAUACCAGAUUUUAAGAAUUUGUUGUGCUCCAUUUGGAAAUCUUUUCAUUGGACAGGAUGCUUACCUUUUAGUCAACUGCAGCUUUAAACUGUAGCAUGUACCAGAAAGCCAAAUUUAUUUCCCCACUCCUCCUGAUAAAUAAGAAUACGCCUCAGAUAAGGAAUAGCAAGUGAAUUGUUCAGCUAAAUGAAAAAUAACUUGUGAAUUUCAAUCCUUUCCCCAUUAUUUUGACCAGUUACAAUAGCAGUCCAGCUGGCAGGAAACUCUAAAAAAAAAAAAACAAAAAAACCACACACACAGAAAACACGACCUGCCAUACAAACUAGCAUAUUUGUUGUAUGAAGCAACGUGUACACAGGAUCAGUGCUGAAAAGAGUGUAAUUUUUAGCAGAGCAGCUAGAUAACAUGGGUUGCUUGGGGUUUCUGUUUGCAGAAAAAAUUAGGCAUGCCUUUCUUACGCCAUACAGCUUUUCUUCUCACAAAGAAUGGCUGAUGUAGGACAGAGCACACAAAUUAUAAUGGUCCUGUAAAGAAGAAUUAUCAAGAGUGAUAAAAGAAAUGCAGAUGUUCUAUAUCUGUCCUUGACUGCAUCUGAUGGUUAAAUAAGUAGAAGGCAGCUUGCAUAACCAACCUUUCUCCUCUCUGCAGAGGGUCAUCGGAAUUGCAAUGCAAUGGGGAAAUCAUCUAAAAUUGGGUGGAGGGAUCUUGCAUAUGAUCAGUUUGACCCCAUACCCCAAGACUGCAGCUCUAUGCAACACAGCCCAUGCCAACCUUGGGGGUUGGAGAGAAAGCAGGGCUUUUCUCACCGGGAAUUCACAGGACCUUAGUUCCGACACCUCUCAGGUGGGCGCCAGUGCCAUUCUAAGAGAGGAAUUCUGACACCUCUUUUUCUAGAAAAACAACACAGAUUACAUAUCUGUCCCAACUUAAGGCUGCAUAUAUCUCCCCCUUCAUGUGUUAUCCUCACAAAAACCCUGUGAGGUAGUUUAGGCUAGGAGUCAGUGACUGGUAAAGGGUGACCCCGUGGGCUUCACUGCUGAGUGAGGACUUGAACUCUGGUCUCCCAAGUGGUACAGUGGUGCCCCGCAAGACGAAUGCCUCGCAAGACGGAAAACCCGCUAGACGAAAGGGUUUUCCGUUUUUGAGUUGCUUCGCAGGACGAAUUUCCCUAUGGGCUUGCUUCGCAAGACGAAAAUGUCUUGCGAGUCUAGAGAUUUUUGUUUCGCUUUCCCCCCCCGUUAUCUAAUCUGCUAAGCCUUUAAUAGCCUUUAAUAGCCUUUUAGCAGCUAAUCCGCUAAGCCUUUAAGCCUUUAAUAGCCGCUAAACCGCUAAUAGCGCUAAUCCGUUAAGCCGCUAAUAGGGUUGCUUCGCAAGACGAAAAAACCGCUAGACGAAGACUCUCGCGGAACGGAUUAAUUUCGUCUUGCGAGGCACCACUGUAUUCUGAUACUCUAACCACUGUACAACACUGGCUUAGUUUCUCAAGGCGCUUUCCAUUUGGGCAGCCAUUAGAUGCCACCCUGCCUUGAGGGCUGAGCUUAUGGCUGAGCUAGAGAGAUUUAUUUUAGUAAUGUUUAUGGAGAACCCUGCCAUAGAUAUUUCCAGACUGCAAAACAAAUACAAAUAUUCAGAUUCUCUGCCUGUUUAUCAAAUAGGUUUUACAGUGCUCCAGUUCACAUCUCAGUCACAGCGAAAGCUUCUAUAUUUUGAUCCAUGCCAUCAGGCUACUCCUUCAAGCAGUAGCCAUUCCAUCAUGCUGGAGGGAGAGAAGGAACUGCAGAGCCCCUCUAUUAACUAGGCUGACAGACCAGAGAUUUUGCCUCAUUCUCUUCUCAAACUGUUUCCAUUCAGACUUCUUGUUUGAAGAACUAGUGGCUACGUUCGCAUUUUUCCUCUUCCCUACUGUGGUGUUUGCCUCCUAGGUGGGUCAUAAGGAAAGGGUUAAAUGAGUGUGAAGUGAUUGGCCAGUGGGAACCCAAGGGGAUGAGUUAGAGUUAGAGUUGGAGUUGUGUGGAAGUCAGCUGGGAGUUGGAGAAGGAAGAGGGAGGAUAAAUCUGUGGGUUGGUCGAGUUUUGAUGUGAGAGAAACUAAUAGGAGGAGUCAGAUAGACAGUUGGGAUAAUCAAUUAGCAGUUAUUAGGAAGUAUAGGCCGGUAUAGAAACUAAGGAUAAGAAACGGACAAGAAAAAUUAACUGAAACCAUAAACUUGUUCAUGCUUAUAAAAUAAACUUGAUUAUUUGUUUUAAUGUUAAUAAACUGUCUGGACUCAGUGUGUACCCGAGAGAAACGGGUUGGUGGCAGCAGGGAAGUGGUGGCACAGGGAUCAAUAGACCGUCAAACGUCCGGGGACCCUGUGUGAUCGCCACACCUACCAAUCCAUUUUCCUUUUGUAUCCUGUCGUUGAGAUUGUCAGGACAACAGCAGAGACCAUCUUACUAUUGAUAUUUGUAAGCUGCUCUCGGGGGGGGGGGGGGAAUUCCAGUAGCUCCUCAGAGACCAACUAAGUUUGCUCUGGGUAUAAGCUUUCAUGUGCAUGCACACUUCUUCAGAUAUCUGAAGUAUUUGAAGAAGUGUGCAUGCACACGAAAGCUUAUACCCAGAACAAACUUAGCUGGUCUCUAAGGUGCUACUGGACAUAUUUUAUAUUUUUUUUGACUGCGUCAGACCAACAUGGCUACCUACCUGAAUCUGUAAGCUGCUCUGGUAGUCAUCUUUGAUUUUUAUUUUCUGACAAAAUGUGCAGUUGUGGAACUAUUGAAACACAAUAAUAAAGAACAAAAAUUGAGGAUUAUACUUCUUGACUACACUUCUUGUGUAUAGCUGCCUCUCUUGGUUAGCAAGUGUUUACAUGCAAAUUUAGAAAACGUUUAUUGUUUCUAUUCAUAUUCCAUUUUAUUGUCAGACAUCAAUUGCUUAAAUUACUCCUAAAUGGAAAUUUAAGGGUGAACAAAUCUUAUACAAUUUCAACAAUUCUCAAAUGCUUCUUUUGAAUUGGUAAUAAAUGGUAUCAUUUGCCACCAAGCAUAAAACAUCUGUCUGUUAAUCCCCUACACAACUCUUCACAAUUAACUCUUACAAGACCAGCAGCACACUGGUUUCUACAUCUUUUCUAAAGAAAUCUGAGCUCUUCUAAAUAAGACAAGAGUCGUUUUUGUGUGUGUAACUUUGCUGGGUACAAACUUUAAGGAGGAUCCCCUGAUCAGAAGAAACUUGUGAGCCAGUAGGACAGCAACCUUCAGAAUUUUCAUAUCUCCCACAAAUGAUAAAUUCAUUGUUGUGGGUUUUAGAAUAUACAGUGUUCUAAAAUCAGUAUUGGUUGCACUGGCAGGGCAAAUCUAGUUAUCCAGGAUUUCCGUCACAACAAUUCAAUUUUUGCAAAGUUCAAUUAUGCUUUACUUACAAAUUGGCUAUAGGCCAUUACAGUUCAAACAUACAAUACAUAACAUGAUAAUCCAUAUCUUACAAAGUGAUACAAUGGGUAAAUGUUGGAUCAACGUAAUUAGUUAUCAGAGCACUUAGGGUAGAAACUCUCAGAAGAUUUCAAUGAAAGCAGCAUGAAAUUUAGAUUAAUAUAUAUUCUGUAAUGCAUCUUAACAAAAAGUCAUUCUUUUCAAAAUCUAACCAAUUUCCCUUAGCCAACAAAAGCUGCGAGAUAAGUACUGACUGACGUGAUUCGGUAGCUUUUGUAACGUGGUUAUGCAUAUCUAAUACUUUUCAAGAUUUUUUUUGUGUGGAGUAGACUUUUGGAGCCAAACUAUAUCAUAAUUUGUCAGAUCCUUGUACGCUCAAAACUUCCCAAUUCAAUGUUUCUAUAUGAUGGUGUUAGGCAAUCUUGUUUCAAAUCCCUUGUGUACAUUUUUUUUCAAUCAAAAAGCCAUUCUUGGAACAUAGUCAAUAAUACCAUUAGAGAUUUCAAAGGGGGGGGGGGGAAUUUGACAAACCAGUAUUUCCACUGUAACUAGCCUGCCCAGUGUUCAUGUUUUCCUAAGUGGCUCUGUCGUCUUAUAUUGUCUUAAACACUGAAUAUUUGAGAGCACUGCCAAAUGUUUAUUGCAUGAUGUAGUAGUAAAGGUAAAGGGACCCCUGACUGUUAGGUCCAGUCGCAGACGACUCUGGGGUUGCGGCGCUCAUCUCGCUUUAUUGGCCGAGGGAGCCGGCAUACAGCUUCCGGGUCAUGUGGCCAGCGUGACUAAGCCGCUUCUGGAGAACCAGAGCAGCGCACGGAAACGCCGUUUACCUUCCCGCCGGAGCAGUACCUAUUUAUCUACUUGCACUUUGAUGUGCUUUUGAACUGCUAGGUUGGCAGGAGCAGGGACCGAGCAACGGGAGCUCACCCCAUCGUGGGGAUUUGAACCACCGACCUUCUGACCACAGCACCACCCACGUCCCAAUGUAGUAGUAGUAAGAAGCAAAAAAAGCACUCACUCACAGCUGAUAAUAGUUCUUCACUUUGUUCUAGUGUGUCCAAGGAAAAUAGUCCACAUCCAUUUGCACCUCAGUCACAGAAACACAGUCCUCUUAAGAUUUUCAGUAACAUCUAAACAUUCUUCUUUCAGGUAAGUGAUUGUGUCCUCUGCAAACAACUUUGAAACAACACUGACCAAUAGCCCUUUAUAGAUGUUUUCCAAUAGCCCUUUAUAGAUGUUUUCCUUGAAUUUCUGGAUUGAACUUGCCAUUUCUCAAUCAGGCAUAAAGUCAGUGAAAGGGUGCUGUCAGCCCCUUUUAGCUAAAUAGCAGCAAAGUAGCUUGGCAUCUUUAUUUAUUUGUUUGUUUUACAGAUAAAGAAGAAGAAAAUGCAUUGUGAACAAACAAGCAGCAUCAGCAGUAGUCGUAAAAUAAGUCACAAGCAAAAAGAUAUAAACAAUUGUUCUCUAAAUUGUUUCUAAUAACAUAAAGGGUGAAUGUUUUCUUGUGUUGUUUUAUACUUAACCAAAAUGCUCCAUUUUUAAAUGAAUAAAUUAUCAAGUUGCCUUCCUUCCUUCACUCGUACACUAUUAGUCAAUAUUAGUCAACUUUGAGAGUUGAGUCCAACUUACCGGUGCUUAGGGUAGACUUACUGAUAUCAAUGGACUUAAGUUAGCCAUGCCAAUUGAUUUUAAUGGGUCUACUCUGAGUAUAACUUAAGUGGGCUACAUCUAG
Podarcis lilfordi (Lilford's wall lizard) is the source of this 10364-nucleotide non-coding RNA. The record is from the annotation of a GenBank genome assembly. NCBI's taxonomy places the organism in Eukaryota, Metazoa, Chordata, Lepidosauria, Squamata, Lacertidae.